This is a non-coding RNA of Durio zibethinus, 766 nucleotides long. The record is from RefSeq and is a predicted model, not a curated record. Lineage: Eukaryota; Viridiplantae; Streptophyta; Magnoliopsida; Malvales; Malvaceae.
AAAAAUAACAAGGAAAGAAAUCCGUUAGUAACUUCUUUAACUGCAAGUUUAAAUGUUUUUAAAAUAGAAUAUUACUUAAAUUCCUAAAACAUAAAACCCUAAUUCUUUCCUCCUUCUCAUUUCUCUUUUCCCUCACCCCGACCCAUUUCUCUCCCAGCACUCUGACGGCGCCCCUACCCUCACUCCCAGUGGUGCCCAUGACUGUCGCCAUCCCCUACUUUCGCUGGCCGCCACCUCUGCCUGCACUGUCCCCUUGCGCGAGCUGCGCACCCUCUCCCUUUCACGAGUUAUGUGCUUUCUGCUGCCCUACCCACCCUUUUACGAGCUGCGCCCCUUUCUCCCUCACACCAUCGCCCUCUUCGCCUCAAACCCCACUGCAAAAUUCCCCAGCUCUACCCCAAACUAGCCUGGUAAAGCCCCCGACCCAGCUUCUUUUUUUUUUUUUUUUAAUUUCCUGGUUUUAAGUGUUAGGUGCACCUUACCGGCGGGACAUCUUUUAUCGAAUGGGUCUAUCUGUCAAGGAUAUAGUGGCAUUAUUUGGGGGUCACACUCUGGGAGCUGCUAAAAGGGUAAUCAAAAGGACUAUUAAAGCUUGUAACAGACAGGGCUUUGUCGGAUGACCUUGAGUUCCGCCAGUAUGUAGAGCUUUAUGCAAAGGCUUCUGUUGUUGUGAAUUGGAACUGCUUGGCUUGCGCGUAUUACUCAAAUAUUUAUACAAACUAUGUAAAUUUUUUUUUUUUUUGUUCUUCAUAUAUAAUUAUAAUUC